AGCGAACGCUGACGGCAGGCCUAACACAUGCAAGUCGAACGAAGUCUUCGGACUUAGUGGCGGACGGGUGAGUAACACGUGGGAACGUGCCUUUAGGUUCGGAAUAACUCAGGGAAACUUGUGCUAAUACCGAAUGUGCCCUUCGGGGGAAAGAUUUAUCGCCUUUAGAGCGGCCCGCGUCUGAUUAGCUAGUUGGUGAGGUAAAGGCUCACCAAGUCGACGAUCAGUAGCUGGUCUGAGAGGAUGAUCAGCCACAUUGGGACUGAGACACGGCCCAAACUCCUACGGGAGGCAGCAGUGGGGAAUCUUGCGCAAUGGGCGAAAGCCUGACGCAGCCAUGCCGCGUGAAUGAUGAAGGUCUUAGGAUUGUAAAAUUCUUUCACCGGGGACGAUAAUGACGGUACCCGGAGAAGAAGCCCCGGCUAACUUCGUGCCAGCCGCCGCGGUAA
RNAcentral lists this ribosomal RNA (449 nucleotides) under uncultured bacterium. Its description in RNAcentral is "partial 16S ribosomal RNA". It matches the Rfam family "Bacterial small subunit ribosomal RNA", at positions 29 to 523 of the family's 1533-position model. The record is from RNAcentral.